This is a long non-coding RNA of Metopolophium dirhodum (rose-grain aphid), 1542 nucleotides long. RefSeq lists it as uncharacterized. The transcript is spliced from 5 exons. The record is from RefSeq and is a predicted model, not a curated record. Lineage: Eukaryota; Metazoa; Arthropoda; Insecta; Hemiptera; Aphididae.
CUGCCGGCCUACGAUCGAGUUUGUGAGUCUUGUGACGUGCGUGUGCGCGUCCGUGCGUGUGUGUACGUGACUACGUGAGUGUGCGUGCGGGCGCGUGCGCGGCAGGCCCGGGGGCGAAUGACGGGCGGCGCGCGAUGCCAAAACUUUACCGUACCGUGUGUGCGUGUGUGAGAGUUUUUUCGUUAUUAUUUUUUUACUAUUAUUAUUAUUAUUCCGUAGUCUGCGGACACGACGUGCGCGACGGUAGAGCGGCGCUCUCUGGUGUUAGCGUGCGGUGAGCAACGCAGGGAAGAUACUUACAGAGAAAAAACACAAGAUUAUAAAAUCCGUCGUACGGUGUUUGCUCAGCUCAAAAUCAAAAAUGAAGUUAAUAAAUACUUGUAAUUUAUAGAAUAAGGUUUUCAAUGUUUGCAUGAAGGAGUGCAGAAACAUGUUUAGUGAACUCCAAUAUUUUGGCAAGAGGAUAAAGUAAACUACAGCCUCAUAUUCUUUUAUACCAAUAUGGUAUUAUCAAGAUCAAAUUUGUUAUUAGAGCAGUUUUAAACUUUAGUUUUAAAAUAUUUAAUAUAUUUUAAUUUAUGCCAUAAGAAAUAUCCAAACCUUCCAACCAUCUUCUGAGAGAUCGUACGUCGGGCAAGCAAAGGAAACUCUUCAUGAAAUGAUAGGCAACAUGUGAAUGAAAUCUUUGAGAUCUGAGGGUUCAUGGCCAAGUGGAUCACACCGCCAACUACAGGGGCUGCCCUACCUUCAUAAGUGCUCAAAAAACCCAAGACUUUUCAAGGCUUCUACAACCAAAGUCCCGGCGCCAAAUCCUCAUUCCAGACCAAAAUCAUACGCUGAAGCUACCCGGACCAAAGAUUUUUCCACAGAUAAUUUCCCCGUCCUAUUAUCUAACUUUAUAACUAACCUCAACUCUCUAAUCAGUCCUCUAAUUACUCUCCUCUCUUCAGUCCUACACUCAUUAAUUCCCAAAACCUCCUUAUCUUCAUAGCUAUUUCUGUAAAAAUUUUUUCUUAUCUAACAUAACAGUAAUGUCAUUUAUUCUAUGUCUAAAUUGUAUGUUUCUAACAAACUUAAUUGCUUUUUUAUCUCUAUUGUAUUGGCUACGGCGUACGCCGUGCCGAAUCCUUACAAGACUCUUAAUCGGUGUUACUAUAUAUAUAUAUAAUGUACAAUGUUUAAUCUAUAAUUUAUAUAAUAUUACGUAUAAUUGUUGAGCUGUAAUAGUAUUUGACUAAAAGCUAAUAAAAAAAAAAAAAAAAUAAUAUGUAAUCACUAAACUAAAUAUUCAUCAUAUGUUUUGUUAUACUGUACACUAUAAUAUAAUAUUACUAUUGUAAAUGGAUUUAUUCUGUAAAUAAAAAUAAUAAAUAAAAAAAUAUAAUUAAAAUGAGUUAUACUUUUAAAAAUAAUCGAUAAAUUAACGACUGAAACGACUGAAGAUCCAAUUGAAGAAAAAGAAACAUUCUAUGAAAAAAUACUAAAAUUUGCAACGGUUACCAAUAUAUUUAUAUUAGCUUAUAAGGUAUAUAGGUACCAUAA